AUGGCGGUACAGUCUACAUGUCCUCUGUGCGGCUAUGUUGACUCAUGAAGACAUGCACUAGUGUCGUGCACGAUGUCCCGCUGCGUGUGGGCUCUAUCAGAUGAGAUUCUUGUUUCCAAAAUGUCAGAGAACUUGGAAGCUAAUGCUCGGAUUUGGUUGUUUUAGCUGAAUGAAUCCCUGGACCAUGCAAGCUUCACACGGCUGGUAAUCACACUAUGGUCUAUAUGGUAUGCAAGGAAGGAGCAUCCGAUAACACAAACAACAGCAUCUGCCCAGCAGAAGAGGUGGUUGCCACCUCCGAAUGGCAACGCCAAGUUUAAUGUGGACAGAGCGGUGGCCAGGUCUCGGUGUGGAGGGGCUGCUGCAGCGAUAUGCCGGGAUCAGGACGGCCUAUACUUGGGUUCGUCGGCAGUCAUUUUUCAAGGAGUCACUGAUCCAGCGAUGCUCGAGGCUUAUGCGUGCAGGGAAGCUUUGGCAUUAGCAGAAGAUCUUGCAACAACCAACAUAUGUGUGGCCUCUGACUACCAAGAAGUGAUCAAUGACAUCAACAGGGGGACAGGAGGUCCCAACGCCGCACUUGUACAUGAAAUAAUGCUUCGUUGUAAUAGUUUUACUUCUUACUCUUUUAUUCAUGAGCGUAGAAGCCACAAUUAUGAAGCUAACAAUCUCGCCAAUAUGCUUGUAGCCUAG
This 690-nucleotide ribosomal RNA is filed under the name Triticum aestivum (bread wheat). RNAcentral describes it as "partial small subunit ribosomal RNA". Lineage: Eukaryota; Viridiplantae; Streptophyta; Magnoliopsida; Poales; Poaceae. The record is from RNAcentral.